GAUGAAGAACGUAGCAAAAUGCGAUAAGUAAUGUGAAUUGCAGAAUUCAGUGAAUCAUCGAAUCUUUGAACGCACAUUGCGCCCGCUGGUAUUCCGGCGGGCAUGCCUGUUCGAGCGUCAUUUCAACCCUCAAGCCCCCGGGUUUGGUGUUGGGGAUCGGCUCUGCCCUCUGGGCGGUGCCGCCCCCGAAAUACAUUGGCGGUCUCGCUGCAGCCUCCAUUGCGUAGUAGCUAACACCUCGCAACUGGAACGCGGCGCGGCCAUGCCGUAAAACCCCAACUUCUGAAUGUCGACCUCGGAUCAGGUAGGAAUACCCGCUGAACUUAAGCAUAUCAAUAAGCGGAGGA
Molecule: unclassified non-coding RNA, 347 nt
Filed under: soil metagenome
Description: partial contains 5.8S ribosomal RNA, internal transcribed spacer 2, and large subunit ribosomal RNA
Rfam family: 5.8S ribosomal RNA (bases 1-120)
Source: RNAcentral